This 491-nucleotide ribosomal RNA is filed under the name uncultured Glomus. Its description in RNAcentral is "partial 18S ribosomal RNA". Lineage: Eukaryota; Fungi; Glomeromycota; Glomeromycetes; Glomerales; Glomeraceae. The record is from RNAcentral.
UUAAAAAAUUAACAUCAUCCGAUCCCUAGUCGGCAUAGUUUAUGGUUAAGACUACGACGGUAUCUGAUCGUCUUCGAUCCCCUAACUUUCGUUCUUGAUUAAUGAAAACAUCCUUGGCAAAUGCUUUCGCAGUAGUUAGUCUUCAAUAAAUCCAAGAAUUUCACCUCUGACAAUUGAAUACUAAUGCCCCCAACUAUCCCUAUUAAUCAUUACGUCAAUCCUAGAAACCAACAAAAUAGGAUCAAACGUCCUAUUUCAUUAUUCCAUGCUAAUGUAUUCAAGCGUUAGCUUGCUUUAAACACUCUAAUUUUUUCAAAGUAACAGUCCUGUUUCCCUGCAACACCAAAUUAAUGACAUUACAGUUCUUCAGAAAGGAGGAAUCAGCGAAACCAGUGCGUACCAGAGGCACGACCAACCUGCUGACCCCGAAAUUCAACUACGAGCUUUUUAACUGCAACAACUUUAAUAUACGCUAUUGGAGCUGGAAUUAC